This 71-nucleotide transfer RNA is filed under the name Aerococcus urinae. Its description in RNAcentral is "tRNA-Trp". It matches the Rfam family "tRNA". From Rfam's summary of the family: Transfer RNA (tRNA) molecules are approximately 80 nucleotides in length. Their secondary structure includes four short double-helical elements and three loops (D, anti-codon, and T loops). Lineage: Bacteria; Bacillati; Bacillota; Bacilli; Lactobacillales; Aerococcaceae. RNAcentral also lists the same sequence under 6 other names. The record is from RNAcentral.
AGGGACAUAGUUUAACGGUAAAACUACGGUCUCCAAAACCGUCGAUCUGGGUUCGAUUCCUAGUGUCCCUG